UUGUGAGGCUUCUUUAAAUUGGUAGUAGAGAUAUGGCAGAUUCCAAAUUUCCAAUACAUUCAUCAUUUGUUAUUCUCAUUAACAAUUUGUAGGAAAUUUAUUUUGCUGAUUGCCUUGGAAAUUUGUUCUGAGAAUGACAUGUUUGAAAAUAAGCAGCAUAACAGCCGGCAUCUUUCUUCCUAUGCGUGGUUUAGAGUAACAGCUAGUUUAACCAAAGAUAUUUCUCUUGCUAUUUAAAAAAGUAUAGCUUAGGGGCUGCUAAUAUGACAUGAAUAUUUUUCUCAUUUUGUUGGUAAUUAGUGAAAUUAUCUCCUUGACUUUCAUGUGCAGAUGCGGAUUCAUGAAUUUUGCAAA
RNAcentral lists this unclassified non-coding RNA (354 nucleotides) under Hevea brasiliensis (rubber tree). Lineage: Eukaryota; Viridiplantae; Streptophyta; Magnoliopsida; Malpighiales; Euphorbiaceae. The record is from RNAcentral.